Molecule: long non-coding RNA, 757 nt
Filed under: Sorghum bicolor (sorghum)
Lineage: Eukaryota; Viridiplantae; Streptophyta; Magnoliopsida; Poales; Poaceae
Description: long non-coding RNA (SBIC_LNC009657)
Source: RNAcentral
GAGCGUGCCGUGCCAUGCCGCUAGGCACGGCAGCACGCCAGCACGAGCACGAGCACGAGCACCCCGGCACGAGCACGAGAACGACACGGCCGCGUAACAGGAAGAAAUGGACGGAGGAGAUCGCUUGGGGAAGGGAUCCAACGGCUCUCGUGCCUGGAGCGGGCUGAUGGAGCAGGCCGAGGCCGUGCCGGCCGCUGGAGCGGGCCGUGCCCGUGCCGUGCUGUUGUGUGCGGCUUCCAGCACGGGCACGGGCACGGGGGCGUGCCGUGCCAACACGGACACGAGGCAGGCCGGGCUGGGCCGUUUUCGAACCGUGCUUUCUUGUACCGUGCUCGUGCCGGCCCGUUUAAAUCGGCCCGUUUGGCCAUCUAUAAGCUAGAGAGAUUGGUUGAGAUGUGCGUUGAAUCAUCGGUUCCAUUCCAUAUGUCUUUCAUUUUAUUGUAGCAUUAUUGGUCCAUCUGUAUUGCUAUUGAUUGAUUCAAUUUCCAAAAAACAUUGCACGAAACAACUGAGAUAUAUUUGUACCCAUUUAUACCAUAUUUAUUUACUUUUCAAAUGUUAACUUAAUUUCUUGGUGAAAGGAAAAUUAAAGUAUGUAAAUGCACAUGGCCCAUAGAUGAAGAUGAAAGAGGAUUUUUGUCCUAAAUUGAAUUUGGGCAUGGGCACGUGGAUGCUUAUUUUUGUCUCAUGAAUGCCACUUAUAGAAUUACACCUACCGCUGUGUACCUGUGAUGAUAUAUGGCUCAUGAAGAUCAUC